GGGGCUGAUUCUGGAUUCGACGGGAUUUGCGAAACCCAAGGUGCAUGCCGAGGGGCGGUUGGCCUCGUAAAAAGCCGCAAAAAAAUAGUCGCAAACGACGAAACCUACGCUUUAGCAGCUUAAUAACCUGCUUAGAGCCCUCUCUCCCUAGCCUCCGCUCUUAGGACGGGGAUCAAGAGAGGUCAAACCCAAAAGAGAUCGCGUGGAUGCCCUGCCUGGGGUUGAAGCGUUAAAACGAAUCAGGCUAGUCUGGUAGUGGCGUGUCCGUCCGCAGGUGCCAGGCGAAUGUAAAGACUGACUAAGCAUGUAGUACCGAGGAUGUAGGAAUUUC
Molecule: transfer-messenger RNA, 331 nt
Filed under: Salmonella enterica subsp. enterica serovar Enteritidis
Lineage: Bacteria; Pseudomonadati; Pseudomonadota; Gammaproteobacteria; Enterobacterales; Enterobacteriaceae
Description: partial transfer-messenger RNA
Rfam family: transfer-messenger RNA
About the family: Bacterial tmRNA, also known as 10Sa RNA or SsrA, is named for its dual tRNA and mRNA-like properties. Its role is to liberate the mRNA from a stalled ribosome.
Source: RNAcentral